Molecule: long non-coding RNA, 291 nt
Filed under: Anser cygnoides (Swan goose)
Lineage: Eukaryota; Metazoa; Chordata; Aves; Anseriformes; Anatidae
Description: lncRNA (ENSACDG00005002154.1)
Source: RNAcentral
CUCAGGUAACGCCUGUGAACCUCUGGGUCCUGCGGGAUAACUUCACUGAUGCUAUGAAGCCAGGAUACACCAGGUAGAUGCCACCCCUAGCUAAUAAUUAGGAAACACUCCCACGAGAGCGGAGACCUGGGGACAGCUGGGCAGCUUGGGGUGCUGCAGGCGCUGGGGCAAUCCCACCAGGGCCCACCCAGCUGCUGCCCCAGCAGACCCACACCAGGAAGCAGAGCGUAGAUGCAGGAGAUGUGCCUCAACCUUGUCACUUUUCUGCCUGUCCUCGGGAGGAGAGGGGCA